Molecule: transfer RNA, 36 nt
Filed under: Nomadacris japonica
Lineage: Eukaryota; Metazoa; Arthropoda; Insecta; Orthoptera; Acrididae
Description: partial tRNA-Met
Source: RNAcentral
ACCCCAUUCAUAGAGGUAUUAAUCCUCUCCUUUUUA